RNAcentral lists this ribosomal RNA (253 nucleotides) under uncultured bacterium. Its description in RNAcentral is "partial 16S ribosomal RNA". It matches the Rfam family "Bacterial small subunit ribosomal RNA", at positions 524 to 776 of the family's 1533-position model. The record is from RNAcentral.
UACGGAGGGCGCGAGCGUUACCCGGAUUUACUGGGCGUAAAGGGCGUGUAGGCGGUCUGGGGCGUCCCAUGUGAAAGGCCACGGCUCAACCGUGGAGGAGCGUGGGAUACGCUCAGGCUAGACGGUGGGAGAGGGUGGUGGAAUUCCCGGAGUAGCGGUGAAAUGCGCAGAUACCGGGAGGAACGCCGAUGGCGAAGGCAGCCAUCUGGCCCACCCGUGACGCUGAGGAGCGAAAGCGUGGGGAGCAAACCGG